RNAcentral lists this ribosomal RNA (261 nucleotides) under uncultured archaeon. RNAcentral describes it as "partial 16S ribosomal RNA". It matches the Rfam family "Archaeal small subunit ribosomal RNA", at positions 748 to 1008 of the family's 1478-position model. The record is from RNAcentral.
CAGCCCUAAACGAUGCGCGUUAGGUGUAUCGGUGACCACGAGUCACCGAGGUGCCGAAGGGAAACCGUGAAACGUGCCGCCUGGGAAGUACGGUCGCAAGGCUGAAACUUAAAGGAAUUGGCGGGGGAGUACCACAACGGGUGGAACCUGCGGUUUAAUUGGACUCAACGCCGGGAAGCUCACCGGAUAAGACAGCGGAAUGAUUGCCGGGCUGAAGACCCUGCAUGACCAGCUGAGAGGUGGUGCAUGGCGUGUGACUGU